RNAcentral lists this ribosomal RNA (916 nucleotides) under uncultured soil bacterium. RNAcentral describes it as "bacterial SSU rRNA". It matches the Rfam family "Bacterial small subunit ribosomal RNA", at positions 8 to 930 of the family's 1533-position model. The record is from RNAcentral.
AGAGUUUGAUCCUGGCUCAGAGCGAACGCUGGCGGCGUGCUUAACACAUGCAAGUCGAGUGCGCGCCUGUAGCAAUACAGGUGGCGCACGGCGCACGGGUGCGUAACACGUGGGUAAUCUGCCCUUCGAUGGGGAAUAACUCCGGGAAACCGAAGCUAAUUCCGCAUAACAUUCCUUGAACUUCGGUUUGGGGAUUCAAAGCCGUAAGGCGUCGGAGGAGGAACCCGCGCACGAUUAGCUAGUUGGUAGGGUAACGGCCUACCAAGGCUUUGAUCGUUAGCUGGUCUGAGAGGAUGGCCAGCCACACUGGAACUGAGACACGGUCCAGACUCCUACGGGAGGCAGCAGUGGGGAAUCUUGCACAAUGGGCGAAAGCCUGAUGCAGCGACGCCGCGUGGGGGAUGAAGCUUUUCGGAGUGUAAACCCCUUUCGACCCGGACGAAUACCUCGCAAGAGGGGUGACGGUACGGGUAUAAGAAGCCCCGGCUAACUACGUGCCAGCAGCCGCGGUAAGACGUGGGGGGCCAGCGUUGCUCGGAAUUACUGGGUGUAAAGGGUUCGUAGGCGGUGUAGCAAGUCGGGAGUGAAAUCUCUGGGCUCAACCCAGAGACUGCUUCCGAAACUGCUGUGCUUGAGUGUGGGAGAGGCGCGUGGAAUUGCAGGUGUAGCGGUGAAAUGCGUAGAUAUCUGCAGGAACACCCGUGGCGAAAGCGGCGCGCUGGACCACUACUGACGCUGAGGAACGAAAGCUAGGGGAGCAAACAGGAUUAGAUACCCUGGUAGUCCUAGCCCUAAACGAUCAGGACUUGGGGUGCCGCACGUUCGUGCGUCGUCCCGGAGCUAACGCGUUAAGUCCUGCACCUGGGGAGUACGGUCGCAGACUGAACUUAAAGGAUUGACGGGGGCCCCGCACAGC